AUUUCCUGACUCCUCUCAAAGCCAUUAUUAACUAAUUAAUGAUCACAUUGAAGGAUUUGUCUUCUUUUUCUUAGCUAUCACUGUACUGGCAGUGAGCUGACCUGUACUUUAACUUCCACUGUGGUAGGUUUAGUACUAUUGUACUAAUGACAAUUACUCUGAUUUAUGACUAUUAGGUGAGAAUGGAAUUUUCCCCAGUAAGUUUCUUAUAACCUGUGAGUACUGCAGUAGUAUCAGGGUUGAUUCAGACUGAAUCUAAAACAUAAAGCAACGCUCAUUGUCAAGCUGGAAGUGCAUGGACAUGAACUCACAUUGUGGAUGCUUUCUAUGCACUGUGAACACUGCAGGCUACUUCAUGUCCCUGCUAUUGAAAUCCUGUGGUUUUCUUUCAUAGAAAAGGGAUCUGUCUGUAUGCUUUAUAAAACUUAUGAACUCAUUGCAAAGAGAAAACAAAUGGACAGUGUAGAACAUUUCUCAAUAGCUUAGCUGAAAAGAGUUUUUCCUCCAGAAAUUUUUUUCUAAGGGAAAACCAUAAGCCUGAUUGCAACACAACCACAGCAUGGAGCGAGCCUACGGGGAUGGUGACUACUGGCACCAUUCAAACAAGGUGCUAUUUUGUCCUCUCUGGUCUUUAGGUCGAAUUAAUAAGCAUAAAUUCUGGUUUGCUGGGUUCCUGAAAAGCAAAAUGGGAUGCUUGAACACCUGAACAAGAGCUGUGUAGCAAAGGAGGGUGAAAAAGAAGAUGGACCACUCUGAAAUUACUGUUAGGCAGGUCCAUUUCUCUCCACCCAUAUUUCAGUCCUCCUUAGACUGGGGAUGACCUAAGCAGAAACCCUGGACAACCCAAGCACAGCAAGCCAGAAGAAGAUGAUAUUAAUGCUCCUACUGCAUGCCUACAAGGAGUAGCUCCACAAAGAUCUGGGCAACAUUUUGGCAGUGAAGACAAGAUUUCAGUGAUGCUCCAAAAAAGAAGGGUAAAUAAAAGCUGAAUGUAAAGCCCAGUGUAGCAAGAUUUCCUCUGCAGAAUGGAUGCUUGCUUUUUCAUUGCACCAGCUGAAUUCCCUAAAAUAAACAGAAUAACCAAUUUAAAGCAGAUGCAUGGAACAACAAUCAGGUUUCAUCUCUGGUUUUAAUCUUUUUGAACCACAGCAUUUGGCACUCAGAGCUCAAAGGAACUGCAGGCUGUAUCAGGAGUUUGCUGUAACUUAGCAGCUUGGAGGAAGCAGAUUUGUGACUACAUAACAGGGAGAGACGAAACAGCUCUGUUCAGAUAACCGGAUUAUAAUAAAAUAUGCAAGUUGGAACCUGGAGACAAAUGAACAUCCAGAGCUCCUGCCCAUGAAAUGUUAUCAAAUGCAGCUUGGGAACAACAGAGCUGAACAGUCGGUGGCCAGCUCCAGCACUGCGUCUGAAGUGAUGAAACAGUGAACUCAGGAGUUUUAUUGGUAGUUACUAUUCUGUGUGCCACCAAAAAAAAAAAAAAAAAAAAAAAGUGUGGAGUAAAUCAAUGUUAUGUGAAAUCUGGGCUCAUGAAUGAAGAGCAGUACGAUACCAUUUCAGUUCCCUUUGUGAAUUCUGGGAGCGCCUUUUUUUUUUUUUUUUUUUUUACAAGGCAGCAAAACCAAAAAAAAUCAUGAAAGCCACAUGGGUCUGAUUUCCCAUUUCCCUGCUCGCUGUGCUAUCAUUUACCUCAGAGACUUUGCAUCGUAUUGUGUGACUACCCACAGCAUCUGAUCCCAUGAGGCUGAAGUCAUUCUUCAAACAGCAAUCGUCAUUUAAGGACUUGAUGGAGGGGGAAGAUGAUGCCAGGCAAGACAGCGAAGCCCACACAAAGAAAUAUCUUUCAGACAAGCUGGAAAUUCCCUGGAGACCAGUCUUGUGACAUGGUUACACCAUCACAGACACUUUUCCAAAACAGUGGCUAUGAUGGGUGCCUCUUGACAAUUUGCCUGAGAAAAAAAGUGAAAAGCAGGGUGUUACUUACCUGCAUGUUCACACCGGGUUGCUGGGACAUUUGCUGAGAGCAGAGAUACCCCAAAACAGUAUUGGAGGAAAGCUUCACAAAUUUGUUGGGACCUCAGCAGGGUCUUCUUGUUUCUGCUUAUUUCUUCCAUGUAGUUUGAAGGGAUAAUUUAGAUGCUAUCGCUCUGGGAUGUGUGAGCCAUUCAAAAAAACCUUUCUCUGGAAAACCAGAUCUCUCUGGGUGCCCGGGUGAACAGCAGGCUGGGCCUGCUGCUGCUGUGUCCACCCGUCUUUGGAGACACAGGUUAUUUCAACUGUCUCUCCUUUGCUUCAAGUCAAGAGGGAGAGAGGGCUGUGGCUGCAGUAGCAGGGGAGGGAUGCAGCGCAGAGGCUUGCUCUGAAUGAAGUGGUAAGGAGCAGGAUGGUAUGCACGAGGGUAGAGCCCAGUCCAUCACUUAGCAAACGAGUUUUCUCUCAUUUGCCCUUUGUUUCUGAUUCUUUCUUCACUUUUUUUUUUCCUUUGUGAGUGAUUUAUCCUUAAGUGAUUUAUCUUUAUGUUCCCUGUAAGUAGACAUUAAGUAGCAGUAAAAAUUCAAAGGCAUCUCUGUCACGGUGUCUGAUGAACACCACUAACCUGCAGUGAAGAUAUCUACCUUGU
This is a long non-coding RNA of Cygnus atratus (black swan), 2620 nucleotides long. RefSeq lists it as uncharacterized. The transcript has 3 exons. The record is from RefSeq and is a predicted model, not a curated record. NCBI's taxonomy places the organism in Eukaryota, Metazoa, Chordata, Aves, Anseriformes, Anatidae.